CAGCCGUAAACAAUGUGCGUUAGGUAUGUCGGUAACCACGUGUUACUGAUGUGCCGAAGAGAAAUCGUGAAACGCACCACCUGGGAAGUACGGUCGCAAGGCUGAAACUUAAAGGAGUUGGCGGGGGAGCACCACAACAGGUGGAGCCUGCGGUUUAAUUGGAUUCAACGCCGGACAUCUCACCGGAUAAGACAGCUGAAUGAUUGUCAAUCUGAAGGUUUACAUGACUAGCUGAGAGGUGGUGCAUGGCGUCAGUGACU
Molecule: ribosomal RNA, 260 nt
Filed under: uncultured archaeon
Lineage: Archaea
Description: partial 16S ribosomal RNA
Rfam family: Archaeal small subunit ribosomal RNA
Source: RNAcentral